CCUACGGGUGGCAGCAGUGGGGAAUAUUGGACAAUGGGCGAAAGCCUGAUCCAGCCAUGCCGCGUGUGUGAAGAAGGCCUUCGGGUUGUAAAGCACUUUCAGUGGGGAAGAAAGCCUUGGGGCUAAUACCCUCGAGGAAGGACAUCACCCACAGAAGAAGCACCGGCUAACUCCGUGCCAGCAGCCGCGGUAAUACGGAGGGUACGAGCGUUAAUCGGAAUUACUGGGCGUAAAGCGCGCGUAGGCGGUCUGAUAAGCCGGUUGUGAAAGCCCCGGGCUCAACCUGGGAACGGCAUCCGGAACUGCGAGGCUGGAGGGAAGGAGGGGGAGGGAGAAUGCCGGGUGUAGCGGUGAAAUGCGUAGAGAUCGGAAGGAAUACCAGGGGCGAAGGCGGCUUACUGGAGUGAAAGUGACGCUGAGGUGCGAAAGCGUGGGUAGCAAACAGGAUUAGAUACCCUGGUAGUC
RNAcentral lists this ribosomal RNA (465 nucleotides) under Vreelandella stevensii. Its description in RNAcentral is "partial 16S ribosomal RNA". It matches the Rfam family "Bacterial small subunit ribosomal RNA", at positions 338 to 795 of the family's 1533-position model. The record is from RNAcentral. Lineage: Bacteria; Pseudomonadati; Pseudomonadota; Gammaproteobacteria; Oceanospirillales; Halomonadaceae.